AACGGCCUAAUGGCCAUAGCAGAAACACUUACUUUGUGGCCCUGUCAGAGUCUAAUGAAUCUGUGAAUUCUGUU
This 74-nucleotide ribozyme is filed under the name Crocodylus porosus (Australian saltwater crocodile). RNAcentral describes it as "Mammalian CPEB3 ribozyme (ENSCPRG00005008321.1)". It matches the Rfam family "Mammalian CPEB3 ribozyme". From Rfam's summary of the family: The mammalian CPEB3 ribozyme is a self cleaving RNA located in the second intron of the CPEB3 gene which belongs to a family of genes regulating messenger RNA polyadenylation. This ribozyme is highly conserved and found only in mammals. The record is from RNAcentral. Lineage: Eukaryota; Metazoa; Chordata; Crocodylia; Crocodylidae.